Molecule: ribosomal RNA, 466 nt
Filed under: uncultured bacterium
Lineage: Bacteria
Description: partial 16S ribosomal RNA
Rfam family: Bacterial small subunit ribosomal RNA
Source: RNAcentral
GACGAACGCUGGCGGUGUGCUUAACACAUGCAAGUCGAACGGUAAGGCCCUUUCGGGGGUACACGAGUGGCGAACGGGUGAGUAACACGUGAGUAACCUGCCCUCAUCUCUGGGAUAACAGUCGGAAACGGUUGCUAAUACUGGAUAUGAGCUUGCAAGGCAUCUUGUGGGCUGGAAAGAUUUUUUUGGUUGGGGAUGGACUCGCGGCCUAUCAGCUUGUUGGUGAGGUAGUGGCUCACCAAGGCUUCGACGGGUAGCCGGCCUGAGAGGGCGACCGGCCACAUUGGGACUGAGAUACGGCCCAAACUCCUACGGGAGGCAGCGGUGGGGAAUAUUGCACAAUGGACGGAAGUCUGAUGCAGCAACGCCGCGUGCGGGAUGACGGCCUUCGGGUUGUAAACCGCUUUCAAUUGUGACGAAGCUUUUUGUGACGGUAGCAGUAGAAGAAGCACCGGCUAACUACGUG